CUUAAAGGUGCCCGGCUUCUUCUUACUUUGGGCUUAAUCUUCCGCCCUGUUUUUCAUCUGUGUUCGCUGUCACGUCUCUUGUUCUCCUGUGCACUUUUUUUUCCCGGAGGGAGAGACGCUGGAGCAGAAGGAAGGAACAGAGUUCCCAGCUGCGUCUGAUGUGGAGUUUCCCGUAACAUCUUCUCUGCUAAGAAAGAUUGGGAUGCUGCCCAGAGAACAGGAGGUCAAAUGUACAAGAACCAAGGCUCACAGUGGACAGCCAGCACCACCUGCCAGACAUGUGAGUGAGACCACCUUGACAUUCCAGCCCAACCACCUCAGGACUGAAUGCAGCUGCAAGAGUGAGCCUAAGGCAAAACCAGCAGAUAAACUGUUACCCAUCCCAGAUAAUCAUGAAAGAUAGAAAGAAAUCACUACUGCUGCAAGCCACCAAGUUUUGUGGUGGUUUAUUACACAGCAACAGAUAACUGAUAAAACUGUCUUCUCUCACUUUCUCAACUUAUAAGUCCUGGCUCUCUCUUGUCUAAUUCAGAAAAUACAAUUACUUUCCUGCCAGGGUCCAGCUGGAACGGCUUCCGGCACUUUCCUAUUACUUUUUCCUCAGUUUCAGAAAUGAUCUGCACAAGACAGUUAUUUAAAACUUUAGCAUCAUCACUCUUACAAUCAGGAGAUUAUUUCCUCUCUUUUGAAGACCUCUGGUGUACUGUCAGACUUUCCUGAACUUUGUUUUGCUCAUUCCAACUUCCUCUCUGUUACUGAUAGGAAGCCUUCACUUAACUUUCUCAAGCAGCUUUAUUUCAUUAAGAGCUAUCUUUUCUCCAAAAGGUUCAUGGAAUUCUUAUGCAUUUUUUUCAUAUGAACUUAAACAUUUCUAUAGAUCUCUUUACAUUUUCUUCUUAGUUUAUAGCAAAACAAGUAAUUUUUUCCACUUCAUCAAAGAGAUGCUUUCCUAUUUUAAUGGUUGCUCUCUUCAAGCAAGUUCUUAGCUUGUGAAAUUUCUGUUGAAAUUCUGAUACCUUUUCAGGAACUGGGGUUUUUCCCAUUAAAUUGAAGUUUAUCCUUCUCAGCAAUUGAUAUUUAAUUACUUUGGUAUGACCUGUUAUUUUUUACACACGAAUCUUCUCCAGACUAUAGGACAAAUACCAGUGAGGAGUUUAGGACAACAUUCCAGAGCACACCUUGUAAAUUCCACGGGUUACUGUCUAUAUUGCACCAGCAGCCUAGAUCCUGAUCAAGGUUCCACAGGGCUCCUAUCUAAAUUGUUCAAGGAAGUGAAAGGCCCUGUUUCUAAACUGUGAUUUUUAUUUUUUUGAGCAGUGGUUCUCAAAGCUUUUUACAAAAAUUGGCAAGGUUAAAACUAUUUUCAUAAUAACACUAAGACUUUAUUUGCCCAUUUCUCUCUUAUUCAUUCGCAUUCACAGUGGAGUUUUCUAAGGAAACAGGGUUGAUUUUACCACUAGUUACUCUGAAAGCUAAUGGAAUGUGUGCUUCUGUAUUAGUGGGCUAAAAUUUUUUGUUUUAAAAUCCAAUAUGAUAAAUAUUGAUGAUAUAUCCAUAAAGACUUUAUUUUUCAUUUUUUGUUUAUAGUUUUAUAACUUUAUUCGAUGAUCAGCAGUUAGUUCUCAUCCACAUUAAGUAUUGUAUAUGUUUCCUUUUUCCCCGUUGACCUCUCCCCAGCCGUUCCCACCCCUAGCACCACACUGUUUAUAGAUUUUUUUUUCCCAAUAUUAACAACACUUUUUUUUCUUUUUAUAUUUUUAUUGAUUUCAGAGAGGAAGGGAGAGGGAUAGAAAGAAAUAGAAACAUCAGUGAUGAGAAAGAAUCAUUGACUGGUUGCCUCCUGCAGCCCCCCACUGGGGAUUGAGCCCACAGCCCUGGCAUGUGCCCCUGAUCCGAAUCGAACCUGGGACCCUUCAGUCCACACUCUAACACUGGAUCCGGUGAGGGGGCGUGCAAGAGGCAGCCAAUGGAUGUUUCCAUCUUACAUGGAUAUUUCUCUAAGAAAAAAACAAACAAAAGCAAGAAACAAAAAACCCAAGCAAACCUAAUAAGUGGAGGAAAAUAUUUUUGAAGAAUGUGUUUCAACCAGAGUAACCAGGGGAAAUUAUGCCAAAUAUCCUGAGAGGGGCGGACGGGGAAUACCAGAUACAGUAAUAAGCCUCUAGUAGCGGUGGAUCAGUCCUACUACCAUGGGGUGGGGAUGGAAAUCGAGGACAAGGAGGAAGGUAUUCCUGGAACUGGAUAGCUAAAAACCUAAAAAACCGGGGCAAUUUAUAUUUGAUAUGCCCACAUGGACCAUGGGGGCAGGUUUGAGUUAAGCCGGAGCGGGGAGUUAAAAUGCAGAGGCUGCGAGGCAGAAAUUCAGAAAGUGGUGUAACGCCCUGAAAUGCCUCAGCGGAGGAAGCGGCUGUGCUUUGCCUACGGGUGGGAAUACACUCGUGGGUCUCCCAAAAGAGCCCAAGGGGGAGAGAGAGGUGACGGCGACACGCUGCACGCGAGUCCUACUCCACCUCCAUCACUAGGAGCACCAGACACACCCAGUACCGGAGCGCCAGCUGGCCUCUGGGUGGCGACGGCGAUAGUCUCAGCAGACGCCAGCGAAAACUUCCUGUUCCCGGCUCCCCUAGCCGCCAGUUCCGAGAUUACCUUCUCCUCCAGAGCCCAGAGGGGCGGACGGCUUGGGCGCGCGUCUCUGCACCCCGGAGGGAGCAAGGGAAGUGGGGUCUGGGCGACAAUGCUGGAGAAAGCCCUGUGCUGUGCAUGCGCCUAGGGACGGGGACCAAGGCGGGUGGGGAAGCAAAGCGGCCGGAAAGGCACUGGCGCCCGAAACUACUACUACAAAGAGCUGUCACGAGCCACCGAAAGUCACGUGAUAGCAGAGCCAGAGUCAUCACGUGGCCCUCGGGGCGGGGUCUGAGGAGAUACUUUCAGGGUGGCCAUGAGUAUUUAUGAGCUUAUGCUGCAGAAGGAAAUAAUGUCUUCCAAGGUAGCUGAGACCAGCUUCUGAUGCCCAGAAAUCUGAUGUGAAAAAGUGUUAUUUGUGGCUGAAGAAACACAGACUUCUCUCUCAGUUUCCUGAAACUCCCCCUCUUUCUUUCUCUCCUUUAAAACUCUUCUGCUUGGUAUGGAACUUUGGAGAUGGUCUUUGGACAUUAGCCUGCCGUCUUCCUGAAUAAAGCAAAAAUUCCUUUUCACCCAA
This is a long non-coding RNA of Myotis myotis, 3199 nucleotides long. RefSeq lists it as uncharacterized. The transcript has 4 exons. The record is from RefSeq and is a predicted model, not a curated record. Lineage: Eukaryota; Metazoa; Chordata; Mammalia; Chiroptera; Vespertilionidae.